CAGGAAACCAGUAGGAGGCUAUCGCAGUCAUCCAGCUGAGGAAAGAUGACUUGACACGACUUCAGAAGCCUCCUGAAUCCUAUUCUGGCCCAUCGUGGCAUGGUCAGCAGAUGAGAAACAGAUGGACUGGUGUGUGGUGGGAGGAAGCUGUCCUGGUCGAGCUCUGCUUCAGGCCAGUCCUUUCUGAGAUUGGAGAAGUGAGAAGAGGAGCAGAGAGACCAGCUGGGAGCUGCUGUAGUAACCCAGGUGAGGGAGAUGGUGGUCUGGACCAGUGCUUCGCAUGGAGGUGGACAGAAGUGAUAUAACUGAUUUAAGUCAACCAGCUGCUUGAUCCAAAUAAUGCCAAAUGAGUUUAUUGCCAUCUCUUCAUAUUUUACAACCAGAUCACUUCUGCAUAAAACCACAUGGAA
RNAcentral lists this long non-coding RNA (410 nucleotides) under Homo sapiens (human). RNAcentral's name for it is "non-protein coding LINC01929:8". The record is from RNAcentral. Lineage: Eukaryota; Metazoa; Chordata; Mammalia; Primates; Hominidae.